CUUGGUCAUUUAGAGGAAGUAAAAGUCGUAACAAGGUCUCCGUAGGUGAACCUGCGGAGGGAUCAUUACACAAAUAUGAAGGCGGGCUGGAACCUCUCGGGGUUACAGCCUUGCUGAAUUAUUCACCCUUGUCUUUUGCGUACUUCUUGUUUCCUUGGUGGGUUCGCCCACCACUAGGACAAACAUAAACCUUUUGUAAUUGUAAUCAGCGUCAGUAACAAAUUAAUAAUUACAACUUUCAACAACGGAUCUCUUGGUUCUGGCAUCGAUGAAGAACGCAGCGAAAUGCGAUAAGUAGUGUGAAUUGCAGAAUUCAGUGAAUCAUCGAAUCUUUGAACGCACAUUGCGCCCUUUGGUAUUCCAAAGGGCAUGCCUGUUCGAGCGUCAUUUGUACCCUCAAGCUUUGCUUGGUGUUGGGCGUCUUGUCUCUAGCUUUGCUGGAGACUCGCCUUAAAGUAAUUGGCAGCCGGCCUACUGGUUUCGGAGCGCAGCACAAGUCGCACUCUCUAUCAGCAAAGGUCUAGCAUCCAUUAAGCCUUUUUUUCAACUUUUGACCUCGGAUCAGGUAGGGAUACCCGCUGAACUUAAGCAUAUCAAUAAGCGGAGGAAAAGAAACCAACAGGGAUUGCCCUAGUAGCGGCGAGUGAAGCGGCAACAGCUUAAAUUUGAAAUCUGGCUCUUUUAGAGUCCGAGUUGUAAUUUGCAGAGGGCGCUUUGGCUUUGGC
This 725-nucleotide ribosomal RNA is filed under the name uncultured Alternaria. RNAcentral describes it as "eukaryotic LSU rRNA". The stretch from base 234 to 387 matches the Rfam family "5.8S ribosomal RNA". Lineage: Eukaryota; Fungi; Ascomycota; Dothideomycetes; Pleosporales; Pleosporaceae. The record is from RNAcentral.